GGCGGUUCCGGUGAGGGGCGGGGGGCGCUCCGGCCGCCCUUCUCUGCCGCGCCCCCGGGCCGGCGGGGCUGCGGUGGGGGGCGGCGGCGGCGGCGGCAAGGGUUUCCUCCCGGCGCUGACUGCGGAACCGGGCGGCUCACCCGCCGGAGCGGUCGAGGCGGGGGUGCGUGAGGGGAGGCGGCCGGACGGCCCGUGCCGUCUGUGGUGGGGCAGGUGCCGUGUAACGAAUAAUCCCGGCACAGGCGGAGUGGGGGGCCCCGGGGGGACCGGGGUCACUGCCUGCGUACUGCCCGCGUCCUGGAAUACAGCUUUGGGGCGGGCAUUGCCCUUACGGAAAGAAACUUGGGUCGCAUUUGGCGUUUCUUGUGCCCGGCGGUCGGGCUGCAGCCGUCGUGGAAACUACGCUGCCUUUUGUAAAAAUAUCGUUCGGGGCCGGCUGAUAGCACAGGCGGAAACGGUAGCAGUAGUUGUUAGGAAAUGUGAAAGCGCUUACAACAGUUACAGCAGAAGGAGAAAUGUGUAAGAAUUGGAUGCUCUUUGCAUUACAUGUCCUUGAGCAAAAGGAAGCCUGCUCGAGUACUUUUGGUUGCUGCUUUUGCAGUUGUAGAUGCCUGGAAUGCCAGUGACAGUGGGACAGCCAAUGCCAGGAGCAGUACCAAAUAUGCCUCAUGGUGCAUGCUCUGGAUGUUCUGCAUAUGCUGGUACUUACUCUGCUGCUGCUGACCCCGUGUUGACUUACUUCAGUGCUGUUGCUGGACAGAUAAGAUAAUAUAAACAGUAUAACUGUAUAAUCAGCUGUGAAUAACAACCCUAGUAAAGUUUUUUUUCAUGCUUUUUUUCUUCAGUAGAAAUAUUUUAGCUUAAUGUUCCCAGUGAUAAUCAUUCCUCUUCAGGUAAAAUGUACAGUUUUCAACAAUAAUUGUAAUUAUAGUUGACAGUAGAGUUUACAGUACUACAGACUUGAUAGACAUUUUACUGUUUAAUAACAUAAAAUUAAUCAAAAUACGUUGGCAGUUCACAUUCAGAUUCUCACUGCCAUCUUGAAAUAGUGUUUCUUCCUUAGGUUCGCUGUACCUUAUUAUACGUGUUAGUGCUAUAAUUCUGUAUGCAGAUAACACAAUCUUAAAAGCCAGUUGUGAAACUUUGGAGACUAGGAUUUUGUUUAACUUUGUUCUGUACUGCAUAUGGAACUUGGCUAGGAAAGUAUAAUGCAGACAUAUAACCUCCCAGGUUAGCGUCCCAAGGAACUGAAGUCUCCAGAAUGGUUGAUGCGUGUUUUGCAAGGUAUUUCUUCUGGCAUGAGGUUCUAAAUCUGACGUUUAUGUUCUUUGAGAUCACACAAUUUUUAGAGUGGAGGGCAGGCUUGUAAAUGUUAUGAGACUCAACCUAUUUUUUGUAGAUAUGAAUGGGAUGUGCUGGCUUUGAAAAGUUACAUGGUGUUUUUUUAAAAAGUAUUACAUACUGUAGAUAUUUUUAUAAUGUUGUUAAUAGAUAGUGAUAGGAGUUGUAUUCCAAGAGUCUGCGUUAACAUUCGUAUGACUUACAGAUGGUAAUAUGACCACUGCAAUGUUACGUGUUAAAAGGAGUAAUAGUCAGGGAAUUCAGUAGUUCAAUAUGGGGAAAAAGACCAAUGGAAGGUGGCAAGGAUUCACAGAGGUCAUGUGCGCAGCCCCACAGAUUAUGAGAUGGUUCUGGCUGCUGUGGUGCUGACAUGCACCUUAUUAAGAACAUAGAUCUGCAGAAGCAAUGUAUUGGAAGAUCUCCAGUUACAGGUGAGUGACCUUUUUUAGAUUAGAGUGGCUUCUUUUUUUCUCUUUAUAUUUUAAAUUGCAUAGGCUCUGGGCCUCAGUGCUUCUAUUUCUGCUUCACAUCCCUGGACUAGGUGAAUAACAAGAGGAGAUUUGAUUGGUAAAAGCAUCUAUUAAUUAUUUCAAAGUGGAAAUGCUAACAAUUUGGAUACCAAGUAUUGAAAACAAAGGUGUCAUAAUCUUAAUCAACUUGCUGAUUAUCUUCACAUGUAAAUUCUACAUUAGAAAAUGCUGUAACUUUCAUAGUGUUUUUGAAUACAUUUAGUGGAUGUUUAAUUACCUGGUUACCUGCUCACUGCCAUUGAUAUGCUUUAAGCAGAGAAUUCUGCUUACUGCUUCCAGUUUAGAUCAAGUGCUCUUCUCUUAUGGUGACUAUUUAACAAUAUAAGAACAUUUAAGGUAUCGUACAGGUAAUCUAAUGCAUUAAUAAUUACUGAUAUUUUUUGCAAGUUAAAUGUGAAUUGUUCAAUGGUGACAAAUGCGUGCAUUUGUUCUACAGGAUGGAGAAGCAGAUGCCGAAAAACUGCAGAGAUACCUAAUGCAGUCUGAAAUCAGCAGAACCUAUUAUUGUAAGAUACUGAGUGUUUUGCUAUGGCAGCCAGGCAGGUAUAGCUCAAUGUUAAGGAGAGGUUACCACCACUGCCUUGCCUUCUGAGGUGCAAAGUUGAGAAGACUGGGCUUUAAUGCCUGAUCUAAUUCUGUCACCCUUCAAAAAUUAAACGAUGAUGUUAAGGAGGCUACUACAAGGUAGUAAGUUAAUAUAUCAGUUGGUUCGGUAGUAGACAGACUGGAAAAAAAAAGGGGGGGGGGUAUUUUUAGUGUCAGGCUACUUGAAUGUUUUUUGUUUCUCUUUUAAAUUGGAUUUAAAAAAUGAAUUCAUGGUCACUGUCAUUGCUGAAACUAAUUAUUAAAAAUAAUACAAAUUACAAACUUCUAAUUCUUUUUUUAAAAUGACCUUUCAGCAUUCAGAUUAGAAAAUUGAAGAGUUAUUCAUGUAGGAGAUAUGCUUGUACAUAUUAGGACUUCAGUGGAAUCUUGGCAUCACUUUGAAGCUGUUGGUGAUUAUGAGAAAAUUGAAUUUUAAAUUCUCUUAAACUGAUAACUUUUAAUACUCAUUUUGUUUGAGCAUUUAUAAUGGGGUGUAAAUACUGAUUGUGGAGAUGCAUUAUUUGUGUAACUGCUUUAUUUGAUUUGCAUGUCUUGCACUUUGUAAUUUUACAGAGUAGCUUCAUUCAUGUUAAGCUGACCACUAGCAGUGUAAGCAUUAGAAAUCAGGGCUUCUAUUAAACUUUCACAGUUUCUGGAAAGGAAAAUUAAGAUAAAGGUAUGGUCAUCAUUCCUGAUGGUGUGUUUAACUUAAUGUUUUUAACUUAAUGCAUGCAACUGUAAUGAAAUCAUCAAAAUAUCUGUAAAAAUAAUUUAUCUUAGUAUUAACAUAUAAUUCAACUUGCAUCUUAAUAUUGAAAGCAUAAUUCUUUAGCUGAUAUUCACUGCUCUUCUAUUCUACUGCACAUUAUUAUUGUGAAUAGUCCUGCUUGUUAGUUAACUACUUUAUUGCUAUGUGAAGUUAUUGGUAGACUGUAGGUAGCAAGAUGUGAACUGUUCAGCUGACUGAAUAAUUUUUGGAAAUGCUCUAACUAAUACUGUGAAAUGAGAUUAAGGAAUCAGUUUUGUUGCUAAAAAUCCAAAAGCAGCCUUGACUAUCUCUUCAUACAAUUUUGUGAAUGCUUUUCAUCUAGUAGAUAAGUUAAUUCUAAUACUUAAACUUGUGGUUCCCUCCAUUUGUCAGGAUGGAAGUAGGCCAUUCCUUUUGAAUCUCACUGAUGGUUAGUGUAAUUGUACUUGUCGCUUCCAAAAUCUCCAAACACUGACUUGCCUAUUGCUGCUGCUUCUAGUUCUUGCAGUGCACCAUGGUAUUCUGGGUGCUGAACUGCUGGAGGAAAAGAGGACCACCAACCUGUCAGAAGGUCAUGUUUGGAAGAACUGCUGUAAAUGGAAGCUAUUAUAUAGUUUUUAACCUUUCUGCUUGACAAGACAAUGUGCUUUGAAUGAAUACUUAGAUUUUUAAGUGCAUGAUUCACAGCAAUAAAUAUUUUUUGCAUUUUACUAUAUUUAGAAGCAUGGCUUUUUUUAUCUGUACAUGUAUAAUUCCAGACAAGUAAAUUUCUCUGUUAAGUUCAAGAGCUUAGUGAAAAGGAAAAGCUUAUGGUCAUACAUAAUAGGCUGUGUCUUAUAAAUGGGUAGCUUGCUUACACAAAUAAAACAUGAGACACCCUAAA
Long non-coding RNA from Aquila chrysaetos chrysaetos, 4087 nucleotides. RefSeq lists it as uncharacterized. The record is from RefSeq and is a predicted model, not a curated record. The transcript has 2 exons. Lineage: Eukaryota; Metazoa; Chordata; Aves; Accipitriformes; Accipitridae.